This is a long non-coding RNA of Paramacrobiotus metropolitanus, 817 nucleotides long. RefSeq lists it as uncharacterized. The transcript is spliced from 2 exons. The record is from RefSeq and is a predicted model, not a curated record. NCBI's taxonomy places the organism in Eukaryota, Metazoa, Tardigrada, Eutardigrada, Parachela, Macrobiotidae.
CAACAACAACAACUAUUAUUACAGUAAUUUUGCCUUCGCUAAAGAUUUCAUGUUGACGUUUUAUUGUACGUAUACACGAACUAAGGAAGAAAUUAUCCUCAUCACGAUUUAUAAGAGAUCAGGGAAUUUAGCGACGCGCUAAUCUGAUUGCUUAUCUCGCCGCAGUUAAUCAUAAACAUUUACCAGUAUGUUCCUCCACACAGCUGCACUGACCAAAGCUACCUGCGCCGUAAUCGACGACGCUGCGCUGACCUUCGCGGAAUUCGCUGACGUUGCUGGCGACUAUGCGUGCUGCACGUUGCAGCGAAUGUCUGGCCUGUCGUAUGUAUCUGUAUAUGCGUUCCAUGACUUCCAUCCGAUACAUCAACACUCGGAUACUGUAUUCGUGCAGUCGUCGGAGCAGGAAAUGCAUCUGUGGCAUUCCUCUCGGCAUUCCUGCCUUCAUCUGACAAUGCGCGAUGUCUAAUGCGCGGCCAUUUCCCGGAGGGAUGGCCUCUAUACUGCCCAGCACACGGUGACCUUCUCUGUAGGGGACGAAGAAAGAAUUGGCGGGGACUAGCGAGUUGUCGGGCGAGUCAAGCGACGCAGCGGCUACAUGUGCAGGCAGCGGCGUCCGCGGGCGGGCGACAAUUACGGCCCUUCUGUCCGGUCCGGUGCGGCGUGGCGGCUACAUGUAGAAGUUGCGCUCCAUCCAGCCGUCGGGGAAGCGGCGGAUGAUGAAGCGACGCAGCUCGUCGAAGACGAAGAAGAACAACGCGAACGGGAUCAUCGGCAGCCACCACACGAACCUGCAUGCAACAAGGAUGCCGGCCAAGGU